Molecule: unclassified non-coding RNA, 295 nt
Filed under: Hevea brasiliensis (rubber tree)
Lineage: Eukaryota; Viridiplantae; Streptophyta; Magnoliopsida; Malpighiales; Euphorbiaceae
Source: RNAcentral
GGUGAAAAGGGAAAAAAAUGAUACAAUGAGGAAGAGUACAUGUAUUCCAUUGCUUGAAACCAGAAGAGCUACUAACAUUGAUUUUCACUUGAAGUUUCCAGCGGAGCAUUGGAAGAGUAAUGCAACUGUUUUAGCAGCUUUGGUUGUGGAAGAAUUCUUGAGGUAUUGAAGGAGGAGGGCAGUAUUUCUUUGCUACGAAUUUGUACUUAUGUUGGCUGUAUUUCUCCCGGAUUGCAGGUAAGGUAGAAUUAUGGCUGUUACAGCACAGGCGGUGGAGAUCCUUCGCACAUUCACA